RNAcentral lists this unclassified non-coding RNA (330 nucleotides) under soil metagenome. Its description in RNAcentral is "partial contains 5.8S ribosomal RNA, internal transcribed spacer 2, and large subunit ribosomal RNA". The stretch from base 1 to 120 matches the Rfam family "5.8S ribosomal RNA", at positions 35 to 154 of the family's 154-position model. The record is from RNAcentral.
GAUGAAGAACGUAGCGAAAUGCGAUAAGUAAUGUGAAUUGCAGAAUUCAGUGAAUCAUCGAAUAUUUGAACGCACAUUGCGCCCUCUGGUAUUCCGGGGGGCAUGCCUGUUCGAGCGUCAUUACAACCCUCAAGCUUUGCUUGGUAUUGGACAUUGCCAGUUUCUGGCAGGUCUUAAAAUCAGUGGCGGUGCCAUUUGGCUUCAAGCGUAGUAAUUCUUCUCGCUUUGGAGAUCCAAGUGGUUACUUGCCAAUAACCCCCAAUUUUUUCAGGUUGACCUCGGAUCAGGUAGGGAUACCCGCUGAACUUAAGCAUAUCAAUAAGCGGAGGA